Nerophis lumbriciformis (worm pipefish) is the source of this 2099-nucleotide long non-coding RNA. RefSeq lists it as uncharacterized. NCBI's taxonomy places the organism in Eukaryota, Metazoa, Chordata, Actinopteri, Syngnathiformes, Syngnathidae. The record is from RefSeq and is a predicted model, not a curated record.
AAAUAUUCUAAUUUACUGGCUUUUACCUGUAUAUGUGUAUGAAAUACUUGACUUGGUGAAUUCCAGCUGUCAAUACACUCCUCCCCUCUUAACCACACCCCCAACCACGUCCCGCCCCACCCCCGACCACGCCCCCACCUCCCGAAAUCGGAGGUCUCAAGGUUGGCAAAUAUGACAAUGGCAAGCGUGGAUGUGCACAAUUUGUUAGCCGAAUGUACAGUACCUAUUUUCGCCGCCGCUUCUUUCAGCUUCUCGACGUACUUCAGGACACCGGCCAGAGGCACCCUGCUGUCCGCGCUGGAGGCCAUCAGCAGCAUGGACGGGCCCCGUGUUGGCGAGUACGAUCAAGCUCCGCCUCCAGUGCUCCAGGUGGUACAACAGCUCCGGCUGGCGCGGCUGAACCAUGACGGGUUCUAGACGGGGAUCGGAGACAUCGACCAUCAGAACCUCUGAGCUGGUCCUGCUGCUGCUGUUGAUGGCUGGGAUUCCUGGUAAACGGAUCGUACGUUGCUCCCGUGCGGAGUCAAGUCCAGACGGUGGACUCUGUGGCACCGCAGACCCUCUUGGCUUGUGUAGAACAAAACCUCAUCUGUGGCCCACUCUGGGAAGACACACUUCUGUUACUCCUUGACAUUACUCAAACUAGUGUGAUCCAAAGCGUACCGAAGCUGAAGACGUGGUCCAGUGUGAGCAGAACAUGAGAUCUUUUCAGUCCGAGCUUCACCAGCGCACACCUGAGUGACAUCGUCACAAAACAUCAUUUCAGUGCAAAAUAACUCACGUGUGAUGAUCUUCUCUUCUGUGGACCUUAAAGCUUGCUUGUGUUGUGCCUUCACUGUGACGGCGAGAUGCUUCUCCUGAGGGGACAGACGCAUUCUCUGCACCGUCCACUCUUCAGGUCCUGUCUCCUCAUCGUCUUCCUCACCAACAGGGAUCUGUCCCAGGUGAACAACCAGCUCUGGUUCUGACUCACCUGCAAGUAUUGAGUCUAUCAAUACUGGUGCAUAUAUUUGUUUUUAGGAACUGUUCAUACUUGCUUAUUUGGGUGGUCAAACGUAUCGAUACUUCGAUACCAACAAGCAAGAAAUACACCGAUAUCUGCUUUUAUCUAUAUCGACAGUACCGAAUAAUGUACAACACUUUUUCUCCGGUGAUCCACAUGACUUCACACAUGUGACUACUGAGCCAGUGUUUCCCAUAUUCCUGGAAGACUGUCACAAAUAGGGCUGGACGAUUGUGGCAAAAAUAAUAACCACGAUUAUAUUGUAAUCACGAUUAAUAACUUUGUAUUCAUACUUGUACUUCAAAACAAAUUAAAGUAGUAUAAUGUAUUGUAAGCCCCAGAAGAAAUCACACAAAGUCAGACACUAUUUUUAACUUUUAUUACCAAUCUUAUGAUAAUAAACAACGGCACAAUUCCAACAGGUUUUACCUCCCAUGAAAACACUUUCGUCUCCUUGAGUCUUCGCUUGCUCAUUCUCCGCCAAUCACCUUUCAGGCAUGGACGAUGUGUUUGUAAACAUACGAAAAACUGACAUCAAAUACAAACAAAAAACAUUAGAUGGUCGUUACAGUAUGAAUUGGUAUAUAUAUAAAUAUAGCCUAUUAUUUUUGCACUUUUGACAAAUGAUGUACCAAAACCUGACCACCGAAAAAAGACUUUAUCCAGUGAAAACCGUGCUACCGAAACCGGAUGUAAACAAAAUGCACGCACACGACUGCCAAAUUUAUAUGACGAUUUCAAAAGGUCACGCGCCCCUGACAUCUCUUCUCAACUGUCUAUGCGACGUCAAGGCUUGGUUAGCCCAGAAUUUUUUAAUAAUGAAUGAGGGAAAAACGGAAAUUUUAGUUUUUGCUCCGGCCCUAACUGACUUGGGACCAUUGCAAAAUGAUGUGCGUCCCAAAGUCACCAGCCUUGGCGUCACUAUAGACAGCGAUUUUAAACUUGACAAACAAGUCAAUGGCGUUUUAAAAUCGUGUUUUUAUCAUCUUCGUCUUUUAGCAAAGGUAAAACCGUUUUUAUCUUUUAACCUUUUUGAACAAGUCGUGCAUGCUUUUAUUUCAAUUCGCCUGGACUACUGCAAUGCACUUUAUGCUGG